RNAcentral lists this ribosomal RNA (623 nucleotides) under Escherichia coli. RNAcentral describes it as "partial 23S ribosomal RNA". It matches the Rfam family "Bacterial large subunit ribosomal RNA", at positions 2044 to 2666 of the family's 2925-position model. The record is from RNAcentral. Lineage: Bacteria; Pseudomonadati; Pseudomonadota; Gammaproteobacteria; Enterobacterales; Enterobacteriaceae.
GAACUCGCUGUGAAGAUGCAGUGUACCCGCGGCAAGACGGAAAGACCCCGUGAACCUUUACUAUAGCUUGACACUGAACAUUGAGCCUUGAUGUGUAGGAUAGGUGGGAGGCUUUGAAGUGUGGACGCCAGUCUGCAUGGAGCCGACCUUGAAAUACCACCCUUUAAUGUUUGAUGUUCUAACGUUGACCCGUGAUCCGGGUUGCGGACAGUGUCUGGUGGGUAGUUUGACUGGGGCGGUCUCCUCCUAAAGAGUAACGGAGGAGCACGAAGGUUGGCUAAUCCUGGUCGGACAUCAGGAGGUUAGUGCAAUGGCAUAAGCCAGCUUGACUGCGAGCGUGACGGCGCGAGCAGGUGCGAAAGCAGGUCAUAGUGAUCCGGUGGUUCUGAAUGGAAGGGCCAUCGCUCAACGGAUAAAAGGUACUCCGGGGAUAACAGGCUGAUACCGCCCAAGAGUUCAUAUCGACGGCGGUGUUUGGCACCUCGAUGUCGGCUCAUCACAUCCUGGGGCUGAAGUAGGUCCCAAGGGUAUGGCUGUUCGCCAUUUAAAGUGGUACGCGAGCUGGGUUUAGAACGUCGUGAGACAGUUCGGUCCCUAUCUGCCGUGGGCGCUGGAGAACUGAG